AGUUCAGCGGCGCUAAGAUCAUCAUUUCCGCAGGUCACCGCCUUGCCCGGAGAAAACAUGUAGAGCGGGGGUCGUCGGUUCGAGCCCGACAGGGGGCUCCA
Molecule: transfer RNA, 101 nt
Filed under: Streptomyces sp. UH6
Lineage: Bacteria; Bacillati; Actinomycetota; Actinomycetes; Kitasatosporales; Streptomycetaceae
Description: tRNA-OTHER
Source: RNAcentral